RNAcentral lists this ribosomal RNA (434 nucleotides) under uncultured bacterium. Its description in RNAcentral is "partial 16S ribosomal RNA". It matches the Rfam family "Bacterial small subunit ribosomal RNA", at positions 29 to 506 of the family's 1533-position model. The record is from RNAcentral.
AGCGAACGCUGGCGGCAGGCUUAACACAUGCAAGUCGAACGCAUCACUUCGGUGGUGAGUGGCAGACGGGUGAGUAACACGUGGGAACGUACCCUUCGAUCUGGGAUAACUUCGGGAAACUGGAGCUAAUACCGGAUACGCCCUUUUGGGGAAAGGUUUACUGUCGAAGGAUCGGCCCGCGUCUGAUUAGCUAGUUGGUGGGGUAACGGCCUACCAAGGCGACGAUCAGUAGCUGGUCUGAGAGGAUGAUCAGCCACACUGGGACUGAGACACGGCCCAGACUCCUACGGGAGGCAGCAGUGGGGAAUAUUGGACAAUGGGCGCAAGCCUGAUCCAGCCAUGCCGCGUGAGUGAUGAAGGCCUUAGGGUUGUAAAGCUCUUUUGUCCGGGACGAUAAUGACGGUACCGGAAGAAUAAGCCCCGGCUAACUUCGU